RNAcentral lists this long non-coding RNA (1018 nucleotides) under Piliocolobus tephrosceles (Ugandan red Colobus). RNAcentral's name for it is "lncRNA (ENSPTEG00000019738.1)". The record is from RNAcentral. Lineage: Eukaryota; Metazoa; Chordata; Mammalia; Primates; Cercopithecidae.
AAAAAUAAAAAACAUGGUACAAAAAAACAUACAUUUUUUUAUAUAUACAUGUCUUGUUUUGUCUUGUUUUAUUAUUAUUAUUAUUAUUUUUUAUUUUAUUUUAUUUUUUUUUGGUAAAGUGAAAAAGAAGUUCGAUUUUUAUGGGUUGGUACACCCAUGGUUAAAGAUGAAAACCCCGUAUCGUUAUGUCUACAUGUAAAUUUAAAAAUAAUUUAAUGUUUGUUUCUUUUUUCUUAUAUUGCGCCUAGAUACAUUAAUUUUUUAUUUUUAAUUCUUAUGUUAUGUAUUCUUAUACAUGUGUUUGUGCACACAUAUGUAUAUAUAUGUAUAGGUGCGUGCUUCAUUAUAUAUAUAUACGCUUUUUUUUGUUUUAUUCACAUUGCAACAGGGUUUAUCAACACAAGAAAUUUACUCACGUAGUAUUGAAGACUGUAGCGUACAACAGAUAGGAAAUAUAGAAGACAAAGAAAACAAUAAACUAAGUGAAAUGCUUAACUUUUUAAUUUUAAUCGAAGAGUUUAAUCCUUUAGAAUAUAGCAAUGAAAGAUUUGAAUAUUCGUUUAAGUUUGCAAGAAGUUCUUUGAUAAAUUUUACCAGUACCGAUGAACAUUUAAACAAAGGAAACCAGAACACAACACUUUUAAAAAACAACAUGUAUGACAGUACUGAUGAGGAAGACAAUACUACGCAAGAGAAACCUUUAAAAAGAGGAAAGCUAACAAAAACAAUUAAACCAAAAAACGAAAUUACUUUUAAAAAAGAUAGUUUAAAAAAUAAAAAAAAAACAAUUCCAGACCCAAGAUCUGUACUUUUAACCAACAUUAAUAAAGCUUUUCAAAAAAAUAUUAUAUGAAUAGAAUAGAAUAUUACAAAAUGUUUUUAUAACCACAUUUAUCUACACCUACCUAUGCAUGUAUGUAUUUAACGCGAUUGUUAUGCAUAGCUUAUAGUUCUAUUCGAAAACAUAUAACAUAGGUACAAACGAAAUAAAUAUAUAAAAUAAACGCGUUUUCGUGCA